AGCUGGCNNGUGCCUAUCAUGCAGUCGAGCGAAUGGAUUAAGAGCUUGCUCUUAUGAAGUUAGCGGCGGACGGGUGAGUAACACGUGGGUAACCUGCCCAUAAGACUGGGAUAACUCCGGGAAACCGGGGCUAAUACCGGAUAACAUUUUGAACCGCAUGGUUCGAAAUUGAAAGGCGGCUUCGGCUGUCACUUAUGGAUGGACCCGCGUCGCAUUAGCUAGUUGGUGAGGUAACGGCUCACCAAGGCAACGAUGCGUAGCCGACCUGAGAGGGUGAUCGGCCACACUGGGACUGAGACACGGCCCAGACUCCUACGGGAGGCAGCAGUAGGGAAUCUUCCGCAAUGGACGAAAGUCUGACGGAGCAACGCCGCGUGAGUGAUGAAGGCUUUCGGGUCGUAAAACUCUGUUGUUAGGGAAGAACAAGUGCUAGUUGAAUAAGCUGGCACCUUGACGGUACCUAACCAGAAAGCCACGGCUAACUACGUGCCAGCAGCCGCGGUAAUACGUAGGUGGCAAGCGUUAUCCGGAAUUAUUGGGCGUAAAGCGCGCGCAGGUGGUUUCUUAAGUCUGAUGUGAAAGCCCACGGCUCAACCGUGGAGGGUCAUUGGAAACUGGGAGACUUGAGUGCAGAAGAGGAAAGUGGAAUUCCAUGUGUAGCGGUGAAAUGCGUAGAGAUAUGGAGGAACACCAGUGGCGAAGGCGACUUUCUGGUCUGUAACUGACACUGAGGCGCGAAAGCGUGGGGGAGCAAACAGGAUUAGAUACCCUGGUAGUCCACGCCGUAAACGAUGAGUGCUAAGUGUUANAGGGUUUCCGCCCCUUUAGUGCCUGAAUUUAACGCAUUAAGCACUCCGCCUGGGGNAGUACNGGCGGCAAG
This 880-nucleotide ribosomal RNA is filed under the name Bacillus cereus. RNAcentral describes it as "bacterial SSU rRNA". It matches the Rfam family "Bacterial small subunit ribosomal RNA", at positions 34 to 892 of the family's 1533-position model. Lineage: Bacteria; Bacillati; Bacillota; Bacilli; Caryophanales; Bacillaceae. The record is from RNAcentral.